GGACGGGUGAGUAACGCGUGGGUAACCUGCCUUAUACAGGGGGAUAACAGUCAGAAAUGGCUGCUAAUACCGCAUAAGCGCACAGAGCUGCAUGGCUCAGUGUGAAAAACUCCGGUGGUAUAAGAUGGACCCGCGUUGGAUUAGCUUGUUGGUGGGGUAACGGCCCACCAAGGCGACGAUCCAUAGCCGGCCUGAGAGGGUGAACGGCCACAUUGGGACUGAGACACGGCCCAGACUCCUACGGAGGCAGCAUG
This 254-nucleotide ribosomal RNA is filed under the name uncultured bacterium. Its description in RNAcentral is "partial 16S ribosomal RNA". It matches the Rfam family "Bacterial small subunit ribosomal RNA", at positions 100 to 353 of the family's 1533-position model. The record is from RNAcentral.